UAAUACAGAGGUGGCUAGCGUUGUUCGGAAUUACUGGGCGUAAAGGGCGCGUAGGCGGCUUGGUCAGUCCCGUGUGAAAUCCCUCGGCUCAACUGAGGAACUGCACGGGAAACUGCCUGGCUUGAGUUCGGGAGAGGGAAGCGGAAUUCCGGGUGUAGCGGUGAAAUGCGUAGAUAUCCGGAGGAACACCGGUGGCGAAGGCGGCUUCCUGGACCGACACUGACGCUGAGGCGCGAAAGCUAGGGGAGCAAACGGGAUUAGAUACCCCGGUAGUCCUAGCUGUAAACGAUGAGUGCUGGGUGUAGGGGGUAUCAACCCCUCCUGUGCCGAAGCUAACGCAUUAAGCACUCCGCCUGGGGAGUACGGUCGCAAGGCUG
RNAcentral lists this ribosomal RNA (377 nucleotides) under uncultured bacterium. Its description in RNAcentral is "bacterial SSU rRNA". It matches the Rfam family "Bacterial small subunit ribosomal RNA", at positions 521 to 896 of the family's 1533-position model. The record is from RNAcentral.